This 381-nucleotide unclassified non-coding RNA is filed under the name soil metagenome. Its description in RNAcentral is "partial contains 5.8S ribosomal RNA, internal transcribed spacer 2, and large subunit ribosomal RNA". The stretch from base 1 to 120 matches the Rfam family "5.8S ribosomal RNA", at positions 35 to 154 of the family's 154-position model. The record is from RNAcentral.
GAUGAAGAACGUAGUGAAAUGCGAUAAGUAAUGUGAAUUGCAGAAUUCAGUGAAUCAUCGAAUCUUUGAACGCACCUUGCACUCCUUGGUAUUCCGAGGAGUAUGCCUGUUUGAGUGUCAUUAAAUUCUCAAUCUCUACACCUUGUGUUGCUAGAAGAUUGGAUUGUGGGGGGCUUUGUGAGCCUUUGAUUAGACUCACUCCCCUGAAAUAUAUUAGCUGGAAUGCCUUUGCAAACCAACUAUCAGUGUGAUAAUUAUCAGUACUGGAGUUGAUGCAUAAAGGGUAUCCGCUUUCUAACUGUCAUUAGACAAUAUGAAUAAAUUUGACCUCAAAUCAGGUAGGACUACCCGCUGAACUUAAGCAUAUCAAUAAGCGGAGGA